This 270-nucleotide ribosomal RNA is filed under the name Triticum aestivum (bread wheat). RNAcentral describes it as "partial small subunit ribosomal RNA". Lineage: Eukaryota; Viridiplantae; Streptophyta; Magnoliopsida; Poales; Poaceae. The record is from RNAcentral.
AUGCCACUGUCUGAUAGGAGGCUCAAAUGGCAAGAUCUGCAGCUUCUCAUUGAAAAAAUUAUGAAGAAAAUCGCUGGGUGGAAGGCUCGAUGGAUUUCUACUCCUGGGCGUGUCACUCUUGUAAGAUUUGUGCUCUCUGCCAUGCCCAUCUUCCAGUUGCUGGCAGUGGAACAACCCAAAUGGGUUAUCAAGCAGAUUGAUAAAUUGCGAAGGGCUUUCUUAUGGGCUGGUUCAGACUCGGUCAGUGGAGGCAAAUGUUUAGUGAAGUGG